UGGGGAAUAUUGCGCAAUGGGGGAAACCCUGACGCAGCGACGCCGCGUGAGCGAUGAAGGCCUUAGGGUUGUAAAGCUCUGUUUUAAGGGACGAAUGUUACGGGGAGUAAUAUGCCCUGUAAAUGACGGUACCUUAAGAGGAAGCCCCGGCUAACUACGUGCCAGCAGCCGCGGUAAGACGUAGGGGGCGAGCGUUGUCCGGAAUUACUGGGCGUAAAGAGCACGUAGGCGGGACUUUAAGUCAGGUGUGAAAGACCGGGGCUCAACCUCGGGGCGGCACUUGAAACUGGGGUUCUUGAGGGCAGGAGAGGAAAGUAGAAUUCCUGGUGUAGCGGUGAAAUGCGUAGAAAUCAGGAGGAAUACCAGUGGCGAAGGCGACUUUCUGGGCUGACCCUGACGCUGAGGUGCGAAAGCGUGGGGAGCAAACAG
This 429-nucleotide ribosomal RNA is filed under the name uncultured bacterium. Its description in RNAcentral is "bacterial SSU rRNA". It matches the Rfam family "Bacterial small subunit ribosomal RNA", at positions 355 to 775 of the family's 1533-position model. The record is from RNAcentral.